RNAcentral lists this transfer RNA (74 nucleotides) under Subtercola frigoramans. RNAcentral's name for it is "tRNA-Glu". It matches the Rfam family "tRNA". Rfam says of the family: Transfer RNA (tRNA) molecules are approximately 80 nucleotides in length. Their secondary structure includes four short double-helical elements and three loops (D, anti-codon, and T loops). Lineage: Bacteria; Bacillati; Actinomycetota; Actinomycetes; Micrococcales; Microbacteriaceae. The record is from RNAcentral. RNAcentral also lists the same sequence under 1 other name.
GGCCCCAUCGUUUAGCGGCCUAGGACGCUGCCCUUUCACGGCAGUAGCACGGGUUCGAAUCCCGUUGGGGUCAC